Molecule: ribosomal RNA, 383 nt
Filed under: uncultured eukaryote
Lineage: Eukaryota
Description: partial 18S ribosomal RNA
Rfam family: Eukaryotic small subunit ribosomal RNA
Source: RNAcentral
CAAUAGCGUAUAUUAAAGUUGUUGCAGUUAAAAAGCUCGUAGUUGGAUUUCUGGUGGGAGCGAUCGGUCUGGCGCUUAGCGCGAGUACUUGCAUCGUCUCCGGCCAUCCUUGGGGAGAGUCUGUCUGGCAUUAGGUUGUCGGGCAGAGGAUCCUCAUCGUUUACUGUGAAAAAAUUAGAGUAUUCAAAGCAGGCUUAUGCCGUUGAAUAUAUUAGCAUGGAAUAAUAAGAUAGGACUUUGGUACUAUUUUGUUGGUUUGCGCACCAAAGUAAUGAUUAAUAGGGACAGUUGGGGGUAUUCGUAUUCCGUUGUCAGAGGUGAAAUUCUUGGAUUUACGGAAGACGAACUACUGCGAAAGCAUUUACCAAGGAUGUUUUCAUUAA